ACACCNAGUUGUUCGAAGUGNCGUGCUUAUUACUUGGUGUCCGUUUUCUGACACUCUGAGGUCGCGUAUAAUGCGUGGUGGUAGCAUANUACAGGUAUUAGAUUACCCCGUGUUAGUNCACGCCGUUAAACGAUGAUAUGCCAGCCNGUUGGUCCUUGCUUUCAGGUCAGUGGCGACCGCUAACGCAUUAAGCAUUCCGCUCUGGGGAGUACGNUCGCAAGUAUUUAUACUCUNAGGUAAUUGACGGGGGUCCCGCACAAGCGUUGGAGCAUGUGGUUUAAUUCGAAGCAAUCUGCUGCAUGAACCUUACCAUCCCUUGACAUGGCAUGUUACCUCGAGAGAUCGGGGAUCCUCUUCGGAGGCGUGCUACACAGGUUGCUGCAUGUGCUGUCGUCAGCUCGUGUCGUGAGAUGUUUGGGUUAAGUCCCGCAACGAGCGCAACCCACGUCCUUAGGUUGCCAUCAUUCAGUUUGGGCACUCUAGGGAGACUGCCGGUGAUAAUCCGUCGAGGAAGGUGUGGAUGACGUCAAGUCCUCAUGGCCCUUACGGGAUGGGCUACACACGUGCUACAAUGGCUGGUGACAGUGGGAUCGCGAAUNCCGCGAGNUUGAGCAAAUCCCCAGAAAUGCCGUCUCAGUUCGGAUUUGCACUCUGCAACCUCGCNGGUGCAUGAAGGCCUGUAUCGUCUAAGUAAUUCGUGGUAUUCGAUGCACUGGCUCCAAGCUAGAUAGCC
This 733-nucleotide ribosomal RNA is filed under the name Methylobacterium sp. TC3-13. RNAcentral describes it as "bacterial SSU rRNA". It matches the Rfam family "Bacterial small subunit ribosomal RNA", at positions 686 to 1357 of the family's 1533-position model. Lineage: Bacteria; Pseudomonadati; Pseudomonadota; Alphaproteobacteria; Hyphomicrobiales; Methylobacteriaceae. The record is from RNAcentral.